Molecule: ribosomal RNA, 510 nt
Filed under: uncultured Alphaproteobacteria bacterium
Lineage: Bacteria; Pseudomonadati; Pseudomonadota; Alphaproteobacteria
Description: bacterial SSU rRNA
Rfam family: Bacterial small subunit ribosomal RNA
Source: RNAcentral
AGAGUUUGAUCCUGGCUCAGAUUGAACGCUGGCGGCAUGCUUUACACAUGCAAGUCGAAGGAUUUUGGAGCUUGCUCCAAAGUUAGUGGCGAACGGGUGAGUAAUAUAUCGGAACGUGCCAGUCGUGGGGGAUAACGUAGCGAAAGCUACGCUAAUACCGCAUACGAUCUAUGGAUGAAGCGGGGGAUCGCAAGACCUCGCGCGAUUGGAGCGGCCGAUAUCAGAUUAGGUAGUUGUGGGGUAAAGGCCUACCAAGCCGACGAUCUGUAGCUGGUCUGAGAGGACGACCAGCCACCUGGGACUGAGACACGGCCCAGACUCCUACGGGAGGCAGCAGUGGGGAAUUUUGGACAAGGGCGCAAGCCUGAUCCAGCAAUGCCGCGUGCAGGAUGAAGGCCUUCGGGUUGUAAACUCUUUUGUACGGAGCGAAAAGGCUUCCACUAAUACUGGGGGCUCAUGACGGUACCGUAAGAUAAGCACCGGCUAACUACGUGCCAGCAGCCGCGGUAA